UACAGAGGGGGCAAGCGUUAUUCGGAAUUAUUGGGCGUAAAGGGCGCGUAGGCGGCUUGGCAAGUGGAUGGUGAAAUCCCUCGGCUUAACCGAGGAACUGCCAUCCAGACUGCUUUGCUUGAGGCCGGGAGAGGUGAGUGGAAUUCCCAGUGUAGCGGUGAAAUGCGUAGAUAUUGGGAGGAACACCAGUGGCGAAGGCGGCUCACUGGACCGGUUCUAACGCUGAUGCGCGAAAGCGUGGGGAGCAAACGGG
Molecule: ribosomal RNA, 253 nt
Filed under: uncultured bacterium
Lineage: Bacteria
Description: partial 16S ribosomal RNA
Rfam family: Bacterial small subunit ribosomal RNA
Source: RNAcentral